Long non-coding RNA from Brienomyrus brachyistius, 591 nucleotides. RefSeq lists it as uncharacterized. The record is from RefSeq and is a predicted model, not a curated record. The transcript has 3 exons. Lineage: Eukaryota; Metazoa; Chordata; Actinopteri; Osteoglossiformes; Mormyridae.
UUUUUUUCUCCAGUAAUUUCAGGAGUGUACAAAGGAGCUCAAUGUAAAACAUUUGCUCUCCUUGUCGGUGGAUGGACCUGCGGUCAUUUGGAUGUUCGCAGAGCUCUUGCAAAAAGACCAUGCCAGAAGAGAGGACUUCACAGCUGCAACAUCAUCCUCAAGAUUCCUUCUACCUUUCUGUGGGCAACGGUGGCUCGAACAUUUGCCAGCUGUCAAACGAGCAUUGGAAGUCUGGCCCUCUGUUGUGAAAUAUGUGGACCUUGUGAAGUCAGAAAAGGUGAAAAACCCAGGGACAUCUUCUUUUGACUGCAUUUCUGAAGCCCGAAUGGAUCCCCUUCUUCUGGCCAAACUACAUUUUUUUCAUGGCCCUAUCACAAGCAUUUCAACCAUUUCUUGCUAAAUACCAGACAGGUGUUCCCAUGAUGCCCUUCCUUUGGAAGGACUUGGCAGAAUUGAUCCAGACUCUCCUUCAGCGCUUCAUCAAACGAGAUCCCCUGCCUCUCACUCCAUAUAAGCUGGUCAGACUUGAUGUCAGUGAUCAAAAACUCUGGCUCAGUCCAAAGGAGGUGGAUAUAGGAAUGGCUGCAGCAG